AGCGAACGCCGGCGGAAUGCUUAACACAUGCAAGUCGCACGCCCUGCAAGGGGAGUGGCGGACGGGUGAGUAACGCGUAGGAAUAUGUCCAGAGGUGGGGGACAACCCUGGGAAACUGGGGCUAAUACCGCAUAUGGGCUGAGGCCCAAAGCAGUGAUGCGCCUUUGGAGUAGCCUGCGUCCGAUUAGCUUGUUGGUGGGGUAAAGGCUUACCAAGGCGACGAUCGGUAGCUGGUCUGAGAGAACGACCAGCCACACUGGGACUGAGACACGGCCCAGACUCCUACGGGAGGCAGCAGUGGGGAAUAUUGGACAAUGGGCGCAAGCCUGAUCCAGCAAUUCCGCGUGGGUGAAGAAGGUCUUCGGAUUGUAAAGCCCUUUCGACGGGGACGAUGAUGACGGUACCCGUAGAAGAAGCCCCGGCUAACUUCGUGCCAGCAGCCGCCGUAA
Molecule: ribosomal RNA, 449 nt
Filed under: uncultured bacterium
Lineage: Bacteria
Description: partial 16S ribosomal RNA
Rfam family: Bacterial small subunit ribosomal RNA
Source: RNAcentral